This 492-nucleotide ribosomal RNA is filed under the name uncultured bacterium. RNAcentral describes it as "partial 16S ribosomal RNA". It matches the Rfam family "Bacterial small subunit ribosomal RNA", at positions 29 to 507 of the family's 1533-position model. The record is from RNAcentral.
AGUGAACGCUGGCGGUAGGCCUAACACAUGCAAGUCGAACGGCAGCACAGUAAGAGCUUGCUCUUACGGGUGGCGAGUGGCGGACGGGUGAGGAAUACAUCGGAAUCUACUUUUUCGUGGGGGAUAACGUAGGGAAACUUACGCUAAUACCGCAUACGACCUACGGGUGAAAGCAGGGGAUCUUCGGACCUUGCGCGAUUGAAUGAGCCGAUGUCGGAUUAGCUAGUUGGCGGGGUAAAGGCCCACCAAGGCGACGAUCCGUAGCUGGUCUGAGAGGAUGAUCAGCCACACUGGAACUGAGACACGGUCCAGACUCCUACGGGAGGCAGCAGUGGGGAAUAUUGGACAAUGGGCGCAAGCCUGAUCCAGCCAUACCGCGUGGGUGAAGAAGGCCUUCGGGUUGUAAAGCCCUUUUGUCGGGAAAGAAAAGCAGCAGGUUAAUACCCCGCUGUUCUGACGGUACCUAAAGAAUAAGCACCGGCUAACUUCGUG